Long non-coding RNA from Melitaea cinxia (Glanville fritillary), 622 nucleotides. RefSeq lists it as uncharacterized. The record is from RefSeq and is a predicted model, not a curated record. NCBI's taxonomy places the organism in Eukaryota, Metazoa, Arthropoda, Insecta, Lepidoptera, Nymphalidae. The transcript has 2 exons.
AGAUUUUAGGAAUUAGACAAACCUAUUUGGUAAUGGUAUUUUCUAAAUUUAACCGUGUACUACACCGUAGCAUACAUAUAGAAGCCAUAAAAAUGACAGCCUUUGUUUAUUGCUUAAGGUAACACGCUUUCUAUACGUAAUAGAUGCUACGAGCAAAAACGUACUAACAAAUCUUAUUUUGUUAUUUACUUUUAAAUAUAUAGCAAUAUUUUUAUUUUAAAUUUCUUCUCUUCCUUAUGUAUGAUUUCUAUGAUUUAUUCAAUUAUUUAUAUUGUUGUUCAACGCAAACAAAACAUGUUUAUUGGCAAAAGGAGAUGCACAAGUACUUCGUGGACGCAGAGCUUAACAGUAUGCUUGGAUCGACGUAUGACAAUAUUGACUAUAGCGAGCAUAUCAGCAGCUUCCUUCCUACGUUGAGCGAUGUGUUCGGACUCGUUGAGCAUACUCUCUGCUUGGUCAGACUUGUACAAGUGGGUGACGAGCUCCGACUGCAAGUUGUCUUUUACAAAGUUUACGAGAAAGUGCAUCACAGCCUUCGGUACUGAAUCUUUUAUAGACUUCCUCACUAUGUAGAAGUAUGACUUGAUCAGCCGUUCUGAAAUUAAAACGUAUUUUAAAACAA